This 18-nucleotide small nuclear RNA is filed under the name Arabidopsis thaliana (thale cress). Its description in RNAcentral is "snRNA_18684". The record is from RNAcentral. Lineage: Eukaryota; Viridiplantae; Streptophyta; Magnoliopsida; Brassicales; Brassicaceae.
CCGGAUAUCUCCCAAUUU